GAAUAUUUCAAACGUAUAUUCUUCCUAUUUCUUUUUUGGAAUAUCUUUGUGUCAAAUUUUGGUAUCAAAUUUUGAAACUUGUUUCUUCUAUUUGAACACAUUACAUGCAAAAAGACAUGAAUUUUUUGGAAUUUGUACAAGUCCAAUAGGGACUAUCCUCAUUCACUAGGGAGAUAUUAAGAUGGAGCUUUGUUACCAUCUCUUUUAUAGAGUUUGGUGAUGUCACCCACCUAAUUGUAAAGAGGACUUUGCCAGUUCAAUUGUCAAACCAAAAGCUUAUAUUACUUCUUCUCACCUUCCGCCAAAUGAUAUCUUCCACUUUUUUCUCAUUUCACACAUAGCUUCCGGUUAUGUGAUUGACCAGCUUUUCACUGGAAUUGACAGGAUGCCCACCUCUGCAGUAUUUUGCCAUAAGGAAUUGGGACCGAAGUGAGUUAGUAGUUUUGAAUUUCCACCACUAGUUAGCUCUAAAAACUUUGCUAGUAUCUUUAUACCUUCUAAAUUUAGAACCUCCUUCCUAGUAUGGCAAGCAUAAGCUUACUUCAAGCAACCCACUGACGCUUAUCUCUACUAUCAUUACCUAACCAGAAGAAUCCAGAAAUAUAUGUUUUAACAUCUCAAAAGUGUAAUUUGGAGGGUGGACAGUAGUUAAGUAUGAGUAUCAAGGACCAUUAGUACAUGUCUAAUAAACAUUGCUUUACCACCAGCUGAUAGAAAUUUAAGUUGCCAGCCCUUGAUUUUAUUGAUGAUUUUACUACCCAUUUCAGAGAAAUAAGUCUGCUUUUUUCAACCAAAGUAUAGGAGUCAACCCAGAUAUUUCACAGGCAAACUCUUAAAUUGCAUACCUAACAUCUUCCCACGUUUCUGAUAGGCACCUGGGGAGAGUUGGGAGCCAUAGUGUAGCAGCUCUUGUUUCUGUUUAUCAGCUGACCAGAGACACUCUCAUAUGUAGCCAGAGUGUUCAAUAUGAAUUGAAUUAAUAAAAAUGAUUGUGCCAUCAACAAAGACUAAAUGGUUGUUCUUAGGCCCUUGAUUGGACAUGAAGAAAUCUAUGUAGUUUCUGUGGUCAUGAAGGGCAUUUAACAUUUGGGUCAGAAGCUCAGCAGUAAGGACAAACAGAGAAGGUAAGAGGGGAUUCCUUAAAUGACUUGAAAAACACAUUCCUACUCCCACCAACAAUGAGGGAAUACUAGUU
RNAcentral lists this long non-coding RNA (1195 nucleotides) under Nicotiana benthamiana. RNAcentral's name for it is "long non-coding RNA (NBEN_LNC034999)". The record is from RNAcentral. Lineage: Eukaryota; Viridiplantae; Streptophyta; Magnoliopsida; Solanales; Solanaceae.